This 256-nucleotide ribosomal RNA is filed under the name uncultured bacterium. RNAcentral describes it as "partial 16S ribosomal RNA". It matches the Rfam family "Bacterial small subunit ribosomal RNA", at positions 524 to 776 of the family's 1533-position model. The record is from RNAcentral.
UACGGGGGGAGCAAGCGUUGUUCGGAUUUACUGGGCGUAAAGGGCGCGUAGGCGGUCAGCACAAGUCAGUUGUGAAAUCUCCGGGCUUAACUCGGAAAGGUCAACUGAUACUGUGCGACUAGAGUGCAGAAGGGGCAACUGGAAUUCUCGGUGUAGCGGUGAAAUGCGUAGAUAGUCGAGAGGAACACCUGCGGCGAAGGCGGGUUGCUGGGCUGACACUGACGCUGAUGACGCGAAAGCCAGGGGAGCGAACGGG